GACGAACGCUGGCGGCGUGCUUAACACAUGCAAGUCGAACGAAGAGGCCCUACCUUGGUUGGUUGCACUAGUGGCGAACGGGUGAGUAACACGUGAGUAACCUGCCCUUAACUUUGGGAUAACUUCGGGAAACUGGGGCUAAUACCGGAUAGGAGCUCCUGCUGCAUGGUGGGGGUUGGAAAGUUUUUGCGGGUAGGAAUGGCCCCGCGGCUAAUCAGCUUGUUGGUGGGGUAGUGGCUCACCAAGGCGAUGACGGGUAGCCGGCCUGAGAGGGAGACCGGCCACACUGGGACUGAGAUACGGCCCAGACUCCUACGGGAGGCAGCAGUGGGGAAUAUUGCACAAUGGGCGGAAGCCUGAUGCAGCGACGCCGCGUGAGGGAUGACGGCCUUCGGGUUGUAAACCGCUUUCGGCUGGGAAGAAGCGAGAGUGACGGUACCUGCAAAAGAAGCGCCGGCUAACUACGUG
Molecule: ribosomal RNA, 468 nt
Filed under: uncultured bacterium
Lineage: Bacteria
Description: partial 16S ribosomal RNA
Rfam family: Bacterial small subunit ribosomal RNA
Source: RNAcentral